This is a long non-coding RNA of Salarias fasciatus (jewelled blenny), 779 nucleotides long. RefSeq lists it as uncharacterized. The record is from RefSeq and is a predicted model, not a curated record. The transcript has 3 exons. Lineage: Eukaryota; Metazoa; Chordata; Actinopteri; Blenniiformes; Blenniidae.
CUCAGCAGGAUGGUGGAAUCUGCAAUCAUAAAGAAUGACCUACAAUUGAUAUACAUACAUAUUGACCGGUGCUUUAAGUGCAGUGUAUUUUAAUCAGAAUUAAUUGCUCUCAUAUCUGGAAUGUGGUUCAUGUAUAGGACUUUUAUUUUUAUUUAAUCAGGUGUGUCGAUUUCAAGUGUGAAGACAGCUUCCAUGAGGAAUUUGAGGAAAUAGUCCGGACCGUUCUUGGCAACUUGAACAAUCUCAUGCCCUUCUUCUCCACCCACUUCACUGUCUAUCCAUAUAAGAAGCCAUGGAGGAAUUUCACUGAACCCGGCCUCACCAGGCAGAGAGUCUAUCCUCACGUUCUUGUCCUCUACCUGGAAGGAAACGGUGAUAAUGAGCCAGAAUUAGCGGAACACCUGAAAGGACGGCAUGCCCUCAGCCAUUCAGACACAAGGCCCCAGGCAACGACGAUCCAAUCUGCUGCAGAAGCUAUUUUAAACUUAACAAGCUGUAUUGUGUUUUAGGACAUUAAGGUCGUCUCGAUUUCUUAUCAAGACAAUCAGACGAAGAGUGGCUUCACAGGGGAAAACUUUUGAUUAUAAGUAUCAGCAUGGCAGAAUCAGCUCCCUCUAAUUGGCUGAGGAGUUAAAUGCUUGUUUUCAGGUUUUGAAGCGAGUCCUGCUGUGAUAUUAAACUGUGCUUGUGAAUUUCGAUUGGAAAAAAAUGGCAUACCCAUAAGGCCCUGCACCAGCAUGGUGCCUUCUCUCACAUUCACACUGAUUUUUUUUUUUUCU